RNAcentral lists this ribosomal RNA (152 nucleotides) under Mangrovibacter phragmitis. RNAcentral's name for it is "partial 16S ribosomal RNA". It matches the Rfam family "Bacterial small subunit ribosomal RNA", at positions 1391 to 1533 of the family's 1533-position model. The record is from RNAcentral. Lineage: Bacteria; Pseudomonadati; Pseudomonadota; Gammaproteobacteria; Enterobacterales; Enterobacteriaceae.
CGCCCGUCACACCAUGGGAGUGGGUUGCAAAAGAAGUAGGUAGCUUAACCUUCGGGAGGGCGCUUACCACUUUGUGAUUCAUGACUGGGGUGAAGUCGUAACAAGGUAACCGUAGGGGAACCUGCGGUUGGAUCACCUCCUUACCUUAGAGA